UACGGGGGGUGCGAGCGUUGUCCGGAAUCACUGGGCGUAAAGGGCGCGUAGGUGGCGUCGUAAGUCUGUGGUGAAAGCCCGGAGCUCAACUCCGGGUCUGCCGCGGAUACUGCGAGGCUUGAGUGCUGUAGAGGGGGGUAGAAUGCCGGGUGUAGCGGUGGAAUGCGUAGAGAUCCGGCAGAAGACCGAUGGCGAAGGCGGCCCCCUGGGCAGUAACUGACACUGAGGCGCGACAGCGUGGGGAGCAAACAGG
This 253-nucleotide ribosomal RNA is filed under the name uncultured bacterium. Its description in RNAcentral is "partial 16S ribosomal RNA". It matches the Rfam family "Bacterial small subunit ribosomal RNA", at positions 524 to 776 of the family's 1533-position model. The record is from RNAcentral.